This 26-nucleotide small RNA is filed under the name Bombyx mori (domestic silkworm). RNAcentral's name for it is "ovarian small RNA-17974". The record is from RNAcentral. Lineage: Eukaryota; Metazoa; Arthropoda; Insecta; Lepidoptera; Bombycidae.
GUUCGAGGGCUACUUAAAGAUGGUAA